Spodoptera frugiperda (fall armyworm) is the source of this 4548-nucleotide long non-coding RNA. RefSeq lists it as uncharacterized. The transcript is spliced from 2 exons. NCBI's taxonomy places the organism in Eukaryota, Metazoa, Arthropoda, Insecta, Lepidoptera, Noctuidae. The record is from RefSeq and is a predicted model, not a curated record.
GAUUUUCAAGAAAUAGCUCACCAAUGUUAUCGAGCACCUACAAAAUGGCGAAGAAGAAAAUAGACGAACACAGUUUGAUGUUAUUCUGUGGUUUGUUUUAUUUCUUUGCUUUGCAACGGUUCCGUAAAGUAGAGGUGAAUUAUUACUGCAAGAGGAAACUGCAGCGCUGUGUAUUUAAAAAUAUUUAUAUUGACAAGAGCUCCGGGGCUACGAACCGCGAUUUAAGCAAAAUUGCUGAAGCGGGCGUUGUGCAGCACUAUUUCCUACUAAACAUGUUACGAGAGACCUGAACUUUGUCGAUUAGCUCUGAAUAUUGCAAGUGCUCAGCCUGCAUCAACAGGGUGGCAUUAAAUGUAUGGUAAUGACUGUUACCUUAAUUAGUAUAAGGCAAGUAGGAACAUAUUAUACAGUAACGGCAAAUUCUGAUGCAGCGAACGUUAGUCCUGCACUAUUUGCAUAAUAAUAGAAUGUACCGUGUGAAAGUAUAAGCCAACCCUCUUAUAAAAUCGUGUGAUUAUCGUCUAAAAUAAUUCAAUUUCAGUUACGAUUACACGAGUUCCCACCGGGCAGGAUUUCUCCCCUAAGUACAGGUAACAGAUAGAAGGUAAGACGUUCGAGGGGACGAAAUCAAUGCGUCGUUUUGCGUAUAAAGAAUAGGGAAGCAUUGUGUGCGCUUACGCAAGGAGCCCACGUGCGCGCGCGCUCCCACGGGUCGAAUGGGGAGGGAUUUCGGGAAUCGAAUAUAAGGGCCAAAAAUCCGCUGGUUGAGUCACAUUCGAAUAGAAAGCGAUACAGUGCACAGCUCCGGGGUGUCGCGCUACGGCGCCCCCGGUAGUGCCGGACCAAUUCCCAAUUAAAGUUGUUACUUUGUCAAUUAAAAGUUUGAAAUCAGUUGUUAAUAAACUGUUAAAUUAAGGACAAUACUGUGAACAAUGGGAACAGUCUUCAAAACUGAAGUCCGGACGAAUUCUACUUUCACGAACACUACAAAUAUGUAGAAUAUAAAUCAGAGAGAGUGAGCACGGAGAGAUGUGGAAUUUGUAUAUAUCAACGUAAUCAAAUGGCAAAACCAAGCUGAAGUUCAACUCUAAAGGAACUUAUUGAAGGCAUUGACUGCCAGCAGCCAACAGCAUCAAAGAAUCACCCUUGUAUACGAAAGAAACCAAAGGAGACCACUAUUCAACCAAUUCAGGUGACUGCAAAAUAAUCUUUCUAGACUCCCCAAAGAUAGGAUAGGAUACUUUAGGAUACCGUAUUGUUAGGGAAUUAAGUAAACGUUUGUGGAUAAAACGUUAAUGUUUGUACAUAAAAUUAGUAUAAACUAGGUAUUAUUCAUAAAAUAAGGUUAGGAUAGGAUUAGAUAAGUACUUGCAGCAAAUAUUAAGAGCAUAAUAGUGUUCACAUUUGAACCGAAAGUGCCUUAAUGAUCGGUGUUGUUGUCAAAACUUAGUUACGUUUCAUGUUUUGUUUGCAACUGUUUCAAUUGUUCACGUUUUGAGUCUGUUUUUGCUUUUGUUACAUCUGUUGGAUUCUAAAGUACGUUGUUGUUUUCUGUUAAUUUCGGCUACAGAUUAAAACUCAGUGUUCGCACUUGCAGCUGCUAGUAUUUCACGAAUAUUUGCAUUCAAAUUAAUAUAUUCUGGAAACAAUACAUCGUAGCUGUUAAAUAUUUAUCUGAUUUUCAUAUACCAAAUAUGAAGACCAAAGUGCUUAAUUUUCUUUCGGUUACAAAUUCGAAAAAUAAUUUUUAGCUGUACCACAAAUGUUGUGUUCACGUUUCUUGUUUUUGUAAAUAACUAUGUUGAUUUUUUGUUUUAAUUAGCAACAAACCAGCUGGUCUGGAAACGUUGUUAUUGUUGGGUAGUAUUUUUAAGUUUUUGUUUGAAAACCGUUGAAUUUUUGUUUUAAAACCGAUUUCUGUUACGAUUCAUUUUCGAAGACUAAAGACCAAAGCAGCAAAGUUUCUUGUUAAAAUAUGCUCAAGUACCUGUCAUGAAAGUUCAGUUACAGUGCAGUGUUCGAUUAAUUGUUAGCGUUGAUUUUUUGUUUGAGUAAUAACGUUGUUUGUUUUUGUUAAACUGUUGUUGAUUUCAAGUUAAGUUUGCAUUUUGUUAUAACAACCAUUUUUCCGUAUACGUCUGUCUUGCAGCUUCAGUGGUGUUUAAAUCCAACUCAUUGGUUAAUUUAAAAAUGUAUUUUGGUACAUUUUAAAGUCUUCACCUAAAAUGUUUAUCUAGCGAAAGUGAAUUUGGGUGUACGCUAUAAAUAGGGAACACUAUUAUCAUCACACUUACUGACAUCAUAACACUUAAGAACUUAUAACAUUGUUCUUUUAACUGUUGCUACUGUUAAAGUUUUAUUAGAAUACGUUUAUUCCUAUAAUGUAAAUAUUAUUCGUAUAAUAAACUUAUUUUUAUACUCGACAAAGUUGUUCUAGUAAUUAGCGUGCACCACAAUUUCGUUUACGCUAACUUGUUUCAAUUUAAUUUAUCACUUUCUUUGCAAUAAAAUAAAGUGUUAUACAACUAAAGACAGAUCUGCUGCAAGACAGAUAUUGCUGUGUACAGAUAUGAAAAUGUCAUCCGCAGUUAGGAACAAUUGAACAUUGAUUCAAUGCCAAUAACAAUAAAACAAUCAUGUUCAUUAAUUUCAGAUUUGUUAAGUUUUCGUUGCCAGUUAUACUAUUGAUUUGUCUGUUAAAUUCAUAUUAUGUUUUUGUUUUGUUUGUUACUUUCUGACCAUGUCCAUCUAGCAAGAUAAAGAGGGUUUCGAAAAUUUAAUUGAUGAGAAUGUGAUACUCCCUCAACAACAACUCACUUAGUAGAUCAAUAAUGUCAUUUGACUAUUCCGGGAAUUGGGUCGCAUUCCUAUCAAUGUUUUUUCUAACCUCAUCGCGUUUAGGUUACCUAUUAAGAAAUAGACCGCUAAUAUCUUAUUAAUUUUCAUUCCAAUCUUAUGCACCUAAGUUGCAGUUUGAUUUCUUUCUCAGUAAUAACUAUGAUGUCCAUCUUUAAUAGUCGUUUUCCGCCUUAAUCAUUAUCUUACUUUUAAUUUUUGUGUUCUAAUUUGUUAAUGCUAACCUUGUUGAAUUGACUGUUACUUUCAAGUUAAGUUUUUGUUUUGUUUUUACUAUCAUCUGUUUUUGUUAAUCUUCUGAUAUCCGUUAAAAAUUGAAUUCGUAGCGAUUUCGCGUUAUCAAAAGUCUUGUUAAUGUUGCUUUCGAUCCAAAAUUAAACUACGAAUUUCACAAAGUUUUUGUUGUAAUCAAUCUGGUAUGACUCACAGUACUUACCACAAUAAUCAGUUGAAAGAAUAUCUUUUGACACUUUCCAUUGUAAAAAUUGUUAAAGUUUGAUUUCUCUGUUAUUAAUUCUUGUUAACGAUGAAACCUGAAGCCUCAGUAAUUCUGUUAAGGAAUUUCUUGUUGAGUUUUUGUUUAAUUGUUAUGUUGGUCUUAUUGUUGAUUUCGCUGUUAAUUUCAAGUUCAGUUUUUGUUUUGUUUUUAAUUUCUUUUCGACUGAAUUUUUUGACUGUAUGGUCUUCUGACUGAUUUUUUUGACUGAAUUCUUUGACUGUUAGAUCUUCUGCUUAUUAAUUUAGUUGAAACAUUUUAUUAAUUUCAAACUUGUACACUGUCAAUUUCCAGUUUAUUUUCCGUUUGUUUUCUGCAAGGUGCUCUCUUCAAGUAGCUUCACGUCCUCUCCUCCUAUUAAUUAUUAAGUUUGCCUUGUUUUGAAACAAUCACAUCGUGCCUUAUUACCGUAAUGUGCCUAAUAUUGUUUCAUUUUUGUUGUUUCGUGUUUUUGCCUUCUUAUAGGGUUCUGACCAAUGAGGUUCGAAUCCUAUUUGGACGCAUUGUUUUUUAUCACAGUGACGUAUAAAUAUUGCUGGAAUUUCAAUAUUAUUGUACGAAUCUGUUGAAUACUUAAGCCUAGUGACUAUUUUGUCCCCUUAAUAUCGUUUUGUUAUGGUAUACUUUAUUACAAGCACACUCCACGUUGUUAAUUUGGAUAUUUCGAUACACGUGCCGCUGAAAAUAAAUUGCACUGUUAAGCUCAUAAUUAAAUUAAACCCCAUCAACCAAUAGUUUCCAAAGUGACUGAGUACAAAACACAUGAACGGGGAUAAAAUUGUCAUUACGCACUUAUUGUUUUUACCAUUUGGUAUAAUUUUGUUGAACGAUUAAAUAUUGUUAAUGUUACAUAGUUUUAAGCGUUGAAUUGUUGUUAAGUUUUGAUUGUGAUAUUAUUGUUAAAUUUUGAUCAUGGCUGUGUUUGUUAAUUUUAUGUUAAGUUUUCGUUGAUACCAUUUUUGUUCAUUGUUCUUUGCCGACAUUAAGGCCACCGAGUAACACCAAAGUAAUUGUAGUAUAACAUUGUAGUGUAUGUUUGUAUUUAAGAUUAAUCUUAGUAACUACUGUAUUGUUUGGAAGUAACUACUGUAACCAAAGCUUUGUAUAAAAUUAACAAAUAGGUAAGUUAGGGUUAUUUAUUAGAGAUGUAUGACAGUUCGUGUGUUUGUGUGAAAUAAAUGUACUAAAACAUUUAA